GUAGGUAGGGACCAGCUUGUGACGGGCCUUUUGUAUAUACUGAGGACUUUGAACCUGAUAUUGUAGGCACUGAGAGCCAUUAGAGGAUGUUAAGCCACUGAUAUAAAGUUUUUAAUUUAAUAUUUAUUUAUUUAGAGACAGGGUCUCACCCUGUCAUCCAGGCUGCAGUGCAGUGGUGCAAUCGUAGCUCACUGCAGCCUUGCCCUCCCCAGGCUCAGGUGAUCCUCCCACCUCAGCCUCCCUAGUAGCUGGGACUACAGGCAUGCACCACCAUGCCCAGCUAAUUUUUACAUUUUUUGUAGGGAUGGGGUUUCGCCAUGUUGCCUAGGCUGGUCUUGAACUCCUGGGCUCAAGCAAUCCACCUGCCUCGGCCUCCCAACGUGCUGGGAUGACAGGCAUGAGCCACUGUGCCUGGCAGUUUUUAAUUUUAAAACAUCACUUUAGCAGCAACACAGAAGAGAGGCAAGUUGGAGUCAGGGAGACCAGGACAAUAUUGAAAUAGCAGUCUAGUGAGGAAAGAAGGCAGUGGCUGUAGGAAGGAAGAGGAGAAAGGAGCGGAUCUAAAGGACAUUAAGGAGGACAGAAUUGAAGUAAAUAGCGCAAGGACCAAUGCUGACCUCACGGUGGCACUCCAGUCUUCGAAUAAAGGGCUCUCUGGACUCAUCUUAUUGACCUCCAAAUGGACAGUCCACAUUGAAGUGAAGAGUUGACAUGAACUCUGGGCCCAUAGACCCCACAGUUUAAUUUCCUGAAGAGAAUCUACCAAGGACUUUGCUUUUCUGUUUUUAAAUCAGCUCUGACGUAAGGCUGGAUCAAUAGAAUAGGUGUCAAGUAUGCCCGAAUGUCUCCAUCCGUAAAAAAUUUCAUCAGGGUUCAAAAGUAACCAAAAUAAUUUCACCAUUAUUAUUUAUUAAUGGAUACCAUUUAUUGAAUGCCUGCUAUGUGCCACAUUGGGUUCAGGGUACUUUUCAUAUUAUAUGAGCUCAUUGAACUCACAAUAGCUCUAUGAGGUUGAUACUACAGUGUUCUCAUUUUUCUGAGAAGAAACUAGGGCUCAGAGACAUUAAGUAGCUUGCCUCUCACAUCAUAUAGGUAGUAAGUGGCCAUACUUGGUUUUGAACCCAAUCUGUGUGAUCCCCAAACUUGCGCUCUUUAAACAAGGCUGCAUUGCCUCUUAUUAUUGAUGCCAAGAUAAAAGCAGCAAUUAAUGAAACUUGGUUUUCUUCAGGUAUAGACUGUUUGGCAUGAGGUGGUUUAAAUAAUAUCAUAUUUAAGGAGAUCUAUUGCGGGCCCCUAUUGUGAAUUUGUGUCCUCUUCAUGAAACUCUUUGCCACAUAUGAGAAACAGGAUAUUUACAUAGUCACAAAGUGUGUCCCACAAGGUAUUGAUUAGUUACGAAGAGAAAAAUUGAAAAUUUACAGUGGAGCAACCUGGAAGAUACCAUGUGAAUGAAAUGGUCACAGUAUAAAUGGUAACAUAAAAGUGGUAAAAUAUCAAUAUGUACACCAUGGUCAUAUUCUUUUGCUUUUAUUGUGGAAGAGACAAAGGGACAAGGGAGGAUUUGCUGACACUGGUCAGGAGUGGAGUAGAGGACUAAUUCCUAUCUUUGAUCUCCAUCUGUGAAAGCCCAGAUCGCACAAAGAUUUCCAAAUGAAAUAUUUACAUUUCUAAGGGGUAGAGAAUUAUUCGUGAAUCCUAGACAAUAUACAAGGGAAGGCUCCCAAAAGAAAGAUACAAAUAAUAAAAUUCUAGAAUAAUGUUAUAGUACUGAUUGUAGGCUAUGGGGAGUGGGAGUUGGUUGUCCUACUAAUAAAAUGCUUAAUCAAGAGUGUAUGAUUUGUAAAUCAUAUUUGUUAAGCAUUUUUUAAUGCCUUACAGACUUCAAAGCCCUAAAACUUUUCUGCAUCUCUAGGGGUUAAUAUCAGCAUUUUGUAUAUUCUCAGCUUGAGAUAAUUACCAAUCUGCCUAUUUUUUAAAAGAACUGUCUUUUAGUGAGAAGGAUAAGAUGUCUGGAGAAGCUUUUUGUUCAACAUGUCAGUAUUUGCAUGAUUUACAGUGUAAUUAACCAGGCCCUGUAGCACAGGCAGACCGGCUCCCUUCACUAUUUAUCAUGUUUCCAGCAACUUCAGAUCAUCACCUCUGCUGGGAGGAAAUACGUCCUUCUUAGAGAUGUGAAAAUAUAUCCCCAACCAUUCCCACAGGCAGAAUGUGAUCUAUCCUUAUGUAUCUAUUAUUUCUCAUAUCUAAGGGCUCUUCCCCCUACCCCAUUAUUUUUAUACAGCAUUACUCUCAGAACUAAACUAGUUAAAUAAAUAUAAGGCCAGGCAUGGUACCUCACACCUGUUAUCCCAGCACUUGACGAGAGUCUGAGGCGGGUGGAUCACUUUGAGCUCAGGAGUUUGAGACCAGCCUGGGCAAGAUGACAAAACCCUGUCUCUACUAAAAAUCCAAAAAUUAGCCAGGUGUUUUGACGCGUGCCUGUAAUCCCAGCUACUCGGGAGGCUGAGGCAGGAGAAUCGCUUGACCCCGGGAGGUGGGGAUUGCAGUGAGCUGAGAUUGUGCCACUGCACUCCAGCCUGGGUGACACAGCAACACUCCAUCUCAAAAAUAAAAAAUAAUAAAUAAAUAAAUACAAAAUCUAAUACUACUUAGGAAUAAUUUUGUUAUUCAAUUGCUUAUAGUCACCAGCACAUAUUCGUUAAGGUAUAAUUGUGCUGUGUAAAAGACAAAGUCUGGUGACUCAAAAUCUAAAACAAAACACCUAUAUAGACAAAUAAUAUUAUUACAAAACUACUUUAAAUCUCUAUAUUAAAACAUUAUAGGUUUCAAAAAAACUUCAAAUGUGUUUACUUUUGGCCCAGUAAUCAUUUUAAGAAUUUAUCCUGAAUAUACACCUACGGCAAUAUGAAAAUACAUACGCACAAGUUUAUGUAUUGCAGCAUUGUUUGUAUUUGGGAAAUAAUUGAGAAAAUCUAAAUUCCCAUAUGGUUCUCUAGCAAGCAGACUCAGAAAAAAAUAGUCUCCUGUGGAGGAGAGUGGUUGAAUAAACUACAGUACAAGUACAUAAUAGAGUACUAUAAAUCUAUAAAAAAGAAUGAGGGGCCAGGUGCAGUGGCUCACGCCUGUAAUCCCAGCACUGUGGAAGGCUGAGGCAGGUGGAUCACCUGAGGUCAGGAGUUCGAGACCAGCCUGGUUAACAUGGUGAAACCUCAUCUCUACUAAAAAUACAAAAAUUAGCUGGGCAUGGUGGUGCAUGCCUGUAAUCCCAGCUACUUGGGAGGCUGAGGCAGGAGAAUUGCUUGAACCCAGGAGGCAGAGGUUGCAUAGCUGAGAUUGCACCACUGCACUCCAACCUGGGCGACAGAGCAAGACUCUGUCUCAAAAAAAAAAAAAAAUGAAGAUGUCUGUGAACCAAUAUAGAAUGAUUUCUAGGAUAUAUUAUUUAGUGAAAAAGGUAGAGUACAAAACAGUAUCUAUAGUAUGCUACUUUUUGUGUAAAAAAAAAAAAAAAGGAGUGAGAAAACAUACAUGUGUCUGCUUUUUUGACCAAAAAAGAAAACCGGGAAGGAUAAAUUAGAAAGUAAUGAGAUUGGUUACCUACAGGAAGUGGGUGGAAAUGAGGAGGAAAGGGUGAGGAGGCUGGGGACUGAGUGGAGGGGAUGGGGACUGACAGUUUUCUUGAAUAUUUCUUUUUGUAUGGGUCUACUUUUGGAACCAUGUUAAUGUUCAUAUACUAAAACACACAUACACACACACACACAAAUGGGGAGGGAAAUCCUAAAAUGGAAUACAAACAAAUCAACCUAACAGUUUCAAGUGAAUAAUAUAAUCACCCUGAAGAGCGGGUAUGUUGGUGGGGGGACUAACCCAAUCCAAGCAACUGCAGAAUAUAAUUUUUUUUUUUUAACUGUGUACUCUCAGACUAAAGACUAAAUGAACUGCAAAUGAAUAUUAAAUUUUAGUUACUUUUUUUUUUGCACUAGAGGGUGUCUUUUGGUAGCAGUUCUAAAACUACUUCUGUGUAUUCUGGAAUUGGGCAAAUAAGUACAUUUAUUAUAGAUAAUGGAAUUCAUUUUCCUCACAGAGAGAAGAGAGUUACAAAUUAGAACAGGACAAAAGUAGAAUGAAUCGUAUAGUGUUGGAUUAGACUUGGAAUGACAGUAUAAAACUCAUGUUUUUUAAGAAAGGUAUGAGAAUGUUUUUAUUGUGUACAUAUAAUCAUAUAUAUAUGCAUGUAUAUAUUCCCUGGCUCUAUUCACUGAGAAAUCCCAGACACAAUGACACCCCAAGAGCAAUGAGCACACCUGUCACUUAAAUCAUGAUUUCUAAUUUUGUUCACUAUUUAAAGGAACCAGAGCUCCUUGAGGAUUUGGCCAAUUCCAGGGAGGCUAGGGCUGGGGACGUACAGGAUGAGCCUUGCACAUUUUAUUAAGCUAGUAAGUUAGAAAGUACUUUAAAAAUAUAGGAUCAGGCAUCUCAAAAUGUCCAAGAGUUAUCCUGAAGGGAUUGCUGCUGGCCAAAUCUGGAAGAAUUAAGCAUAAAAAUAAAUAAUGAUAGUAAUGUAUUAUAACUCAUUGAAUAACAUGUGGGCAUAUAAAUAAGAGUAAAUAAAUGUGGGAGAAGGAAAAGUGAGUCCUUAUUGUACAAUAUCAACUAAUAAAUGUAGAAGGAAUAAUGGAAUUAGGAAAUCACUAUCUAGCAACCAUCGUGGUAAUAAUUGAAUCAUCGAUGGAUAGGAAAACUAGCAGGUCAAGUUUGGUUGAGAAAUGGGAUAUUUACAUAGUCACAAAGUAUGUCCCCCCCACAAGAUAUGUAUUAAUUAUAAGGAGAAAAAUUAUAAAUUUAGAGUGGAGAAAUAUGUCAGAUACUAUGUUAGCGAAAUGACCAAAAUGAUAAAGCAAACGUGGUAAAAUAGCAAUAUUUAGGAAAUUGGGUGAAGAAUAUACAGGAAUUUUUUUGUACAAUUUCUAUACCUUUUCUGUAAGUCUGAAAUUAAGAAAUAAAAAGAAAGAGAUAAGUAAAACACUUUUAAGGAUUACUAAGCUAUAGGAAGAUAAAGGCUGUAAUCAAUGUGUAGCAAGUAAAUUCUGCUCACCUUCCUAGCAGAACAGCUUAUAGAAGGUCUUAGUUGGGGUGUGGGGAGUGAGAAGAGGGCAAAUACCUUAUUAGAUGCUUCUUUAAACGCAAUUUUUAUUUUAUUUUUUGAGCUAGGGUCUUGCUCUGUUGCCAGGCUGGAGUACAAUGUUACAAUCAUAGCUCACUGCAGCCUCGACCUCUUCGGUGCAGGCAAUCCUGCUACCUCAGCCUACCAAGUAGCUUGGACUGUCAUCACCCACCACUACACCUGGCUAAUUACUUUUAUUUUUAUUUUGUAGAGAUGGUGUCUCUUUAUGUUGCCCAGGCUGGUCUUGAACUCCUGGCCUCAAGCAGUCUUCCCACCUCGACCUCCCAAAAUGCUGGGAUUACAAGUGUGAGCCACCACCCUUGGCAUGAACACAAUUUUUUAAAAUUGUUUUUUCAAAUGAAAGACUUUUGAAGUUUUUUUUUUUUAAACUCUGUAAUAGAAAUUCUGGGUUUCUAGUUUUUAAAAAAAAUAGAAUGAAAAUUUUAAUCCCAGAAGACCUAAAAAUUUAAGAGAGCAAAAAAUAAAGAAAUAGAGUAAUUUCUGUUCUCUUCCCAGAUAGUAAAUUUAAAUAAAAACUUCUGAUUAUGGCUGGGCACCGUGGCUCACGCCUGUAAUCCCAGCAUUUCGGGAGGCCGAGGUGGUUGGAUCACGAGGUCAGGAGAUCGAGACCAUCCUGGCUAACACGGUGAAACC
Molecule: long non-coding RNA, 5818 nt
Filed under: Homo sapiens (human)
Lineage: Eukaryota; Metazoa; Chordata; Mammalia; Primates; Hominidae
Description: HSALNT0240102
Rfam family: Metazoan signal recognition particle RNA (bases 3237-3382)
Source: RNAcentral